UGUUUAAAAUUAAUCCUAUAAAUUCUGAGAACUAGGCUUUUAAUAGAAUUCCUAUGCAGGUGUCAAGAUACACUCUGAAUUUACAAAUCUUAACUUGUGUAUUAAGAUCCUCUGUAAUCAACACAACAUUUGAUAUGUAACAUUUACACAGUUAACAUGAAGCAUGAAUUUAAUAUGCACCCUGAAAGGGUUGCUGGCCCAGAAUGGACAUUGUAGCUAAAAAAGCCUCAGCCGGAUUUAGGGAGUUCCUGCCUCCCCCGGCCCUAGAGAUUUACCUGUAACCCUAUACCCCCACCCUUAGAAACCUACCUCUGGUGCCAAACUAAGACCAAUGGGCUACCUGUACAUCCCUAAUACCCCCUAGGUUCCACCCCAGGCCGAGGCUACUUAUGUGCCUCACUCCAUGUGUUCCAGGGAGAGAUCACCGGCCCCGGGGUGGAGAUUCCAUGCCCCAGGGGGUCAGGGAUGUCUCUCUCCGCAUUCCCAAAAUAAGGGUUACUUAUAUUUUAUACUUCUUAUCUUUUCAGCCACCACUGCCGGCCAGUCCUUCCCCCUCUUCCCCUUGACAGACCUAUCAGAUGUGUUCCAUGCCAGCCCGCCCCCUCCACGGCGCCGGGCACAAGCUGCUGUUCCUCCGUGGCGCUGGACGUGCACCGGGCGUGCACCGCUGCUGCCAAACCCCACCCCCUUGCACGGUAGCAGCUGAAAUACGUUAUUUCCCUGCGCCGUCUUAGCGCGUCAUAGUAGCGUCUAGGUGGGAUCUCUGCCCACCCCUGUGCACUAUGUCCCAGCGUUCGCCCCUCCCACUCUGCAUGUUCCAUGUCAGCCCGCCCCUGCCUGCUGUGUGGUGGUGCUCAUCUCGCCCCAAGCACAACUCUGCUCUCUUCCUACAGGUGCUAUCUAUCUCAGUGUUUCAAGCUGCCUUAAACACUGUGCGUUUCCAAAGUCUCGCGGCCCCGCUCAAACAUUUUUUUUACAAUUUAGUUCCACUCAAGAGAGGCUAUUUUUUUCUUAUAAUUUUCCUACCAUUUAUUCAAUAUUACUGGCCACCUGAUAAUUUUACCAGCCUGCCUGCCUUAUAAUCUUAAAUGCCAAUAUUAAGCUCCUAUAUACUUAUUUAAUUCUACAGAUAACUUUUACUAUAGUCCAGAUAUCAAACAACAAGGCAAAACUUGACCUUCAAGCUCCACAGAGACCUUGAUAUGGUUGUUCAUAUUUUAAAUAACACUUACAGUUCUGAGACAGACAAAUCUACACAAGGUGAAGCUACCUGCCCCCCGCCAUGGGCCACACUCAAAUUCAUCAUAAGACAUCAGACAAAAUCCCCCAUCCUGGCAUUCUUCAAGAUCUUACUCCAGGGCUGUUGGGCUAUCCUGGCCACCAGAGAGUGGCCGGGCCAUCCUAACUUGUAGCCCUCACAGGUCACUGCCAAAAACCUCACUCCAGAACCGUUGGGCUAUCCUGGCCACCAGAGAGUGGCUAGGCCGCCCUAACUUGUAGCCCUCACAGGUCACAGGGGCCAACCGCCUUAGUGGAUAUCUGUCUCAGAAUCCAAGUCACAUUAAAACUCUCAAGGUAAGACAUUCUCUAUAUUCGUGGACAUACGAGGCCACAUAUACAGAGUUCUUACUGAGUUUUUAGGCUAAUAAAUCCACAAUGUCUCAUGGAGUAUUAAAGGUCAACCUAUGCCAGUUACAAACAGGGCCUAUUUUUGUACAGGUCCCAGUCCUAAAUCUUAAAAUGCUUUUAUUCCCUUUUAAAAUGCCAUCCUGGUUUCACAUCACUCAGGCCCUAGAUCUCACCAUCUUUUUGGUACUCAUCUCUGCCUUACGACUCACAGGUUGUCAUGUUUUGUUAUCCACUUUGGUUCUUAAUUUCUUACAUUCUAUUAAUAAUCAUUUCUAUAGCAGGACUCUCUAACAGGAUUGCCUACAGACUCCAACGUCAUAUAUACCAGAGACAAGCGUUACCUACCUACCUUUUAACUUUUAUGCUUUCAUAUGGGGGAGUAAGCACCUCUCAUAACUUCACUCCUCCUAAUCCCACGUUUAAUUUUUCAGAAUUCUGCCUUGCCAUAAAAAUGUUCCCACCUCAACGUCAUCCUGAUAGAAUAACAGGUCUAAAUCAAAGACACCUUUCCCUCUACCUCACUUGGGUCCAUAACUAUGACAGUGCCAUGUCUCCUCAUAACAUCUUGUCUCUUUGUUUUUUUCAGUCUAACAUACACGCAUUCACCAGUGAAGUUGUCCUGGCUAAAACUCCUGGCACCAGCUUCUACCUAGACAUCAACCGUCAUCCCGUCAAUUUCCCUGGACCCCAGUACGGUGCCCUCAGCCAGCAGGAAGUAGUUAAAGAGAGAAAUCUUCACCCCUUUUCCUAAUAAUCAUAAGAUGGGAUAUGAAUGGGUUGCUGGCCCAGAAUGGACAUUGUAGCCAAAAAAGCCUCAGCCAGAAUUAGGGAGCUCCUGCCUGCCCCGCCCCUAGAGAUUUACCUGUAACCCUAUACCCCCACCCUUAGAAACCUACCUCUGGUGCCAAACUAAGACCAAUGGGCUACCUGUACAUCCCUAAUGCCCCCCUUAGGUUUCACCCCAGGCUGAGGUUACUUAUGUGCCUCACUCCAUGUGUUCCAGGGAGAGAUCGCUGGCCCAGGGGUGGAGAUGCCACGCCCCGGGGGGUCGGGGGUGUCUCUCCCCGCAUUCCCAAAAUAAAGGUUACUUAUAUUUUAUACUUCUUAUCUUUUCAGCCACCACCACUGGCCAGUCCUUCCCCCUCUUCCCCUUGACAGACCUAUCACACCCAAGAUGCUGUUUAAUAAAUCAUACAGGACACAUCACAGGAUGUACAUACCUUUGCUUGUACACCUGCUUCCCUAAUGGAUCAAUAGACAGGGUCUGGCUAUGUAGUGCAGGCUGGGCUUGAACUAGCUGAUGUAGCCUGGGCUGCCCUUAAACCCACAGUGGUCUUCCUGGAGUGCUGGGAUUUCAGAAUUUUGAGAUGAGAUUUUCACCCGGGAGGAGAGAGAAGUGGUCUGAGGAGAAACGAAGGUCGUCUUGGAAAGCAAAAAGCAGAACUCAAUCUGUGCCGGGAAGACCCAAGGGUCAGCGGUGGAAGCCAGAAAGUCCAUGCCAGCAGGGUGAAGGAGUUGUGCUGCUGGGAUGAGGGUUCUUGGCUGGAGACGAGAAGUCACACUCACAACAAAGACCAGGGCUAUGCUGAAAGGCACCACAGCCAUCCUCAGCGACACAAAAGCCCCGAGCUCCUCCGAACGACAAGCACAGUCGGGUAUAUGCCAGGAAGCAGCGUGACAAGUUCAUCCUGGAGACCAAGCAGCACAGGUCUUCCCCUCUGGAGCCAGGAAGCAAUGUUCGAUGUGAGGACUAGAGCAUCUCCAGGAGAACCAAUGGUUCAAACAGCAACUCGUGGGAGAACCCACAAUGCCUCAAUCCAACAACGCAUUAAAGCUUCAGUACCCUCAACACCUCCCUUCUCCACCUAUUUAUCCUGGCAACUUUCCUCAGGUGGAGCAUCUGGUGUAAUCCAGCUGGCGUUAAGUUGACCCCUAGUUCUUAAUCCAUACAACUAUGGUACAGAACUAAAGUUCUACAUGUGAUACUUUUUCUUUUCUAAAUCUGUAAAAGUCUACAAGAGUCUUAAUUCACUUUGGGGGUAUUGGUCUACAUACCAUGCACAAUUUUUAUUCUAUCCACUGCCUGAAACUCUGAAAGCUUUUACAUCUUUCUGGUCUGUCUAAAUCCCAAGUAAGUGAUGACUUCAAAUAUAAAUAUUGGCAGCAGUUGGAAAUGUAUAAUAUAUCCAAGUCUCUUGAGUCCCUUUGAAAGGACUUGUAAGAUUUACUUGAUACAUAGAGCUGGUUUUUAUUCACCUCUGGUAAUCAGCUAGUGGCCAGCUUACUGGAGCUGUGAAAAUGGAGAUACUUUAUUAAGAGUGGAUAUGACAGUAAAGAUUGGGAAUUUUAAAAGGAAAGAGGGUGGCAUUUUGUAUUUCAGGUGUUUUGAUUUUUGUCACAUUUGGUUUCCUCUGAGCUGAUCCCUUUCAUGCUGUGAAAGGUUGACUUCAAAACGGCAACUAAUUAAAGGUAGAAAAUUUAGUGUCUUUUGAACAUGAGUACUUCUUUAGAGAUCAGAGAGGUAGAUGUCCUAGAUUUAUUUUAAAGUGAUUUACUUUUAACUCUUAGGCCAAAUUGAGCAUCAUAGUGAGUUAUUACUAAACAGGAUUCAUGAAUAUUUUUCUAUAAAGGUAUAUCUUAAUUUUCUUUCUGGACAUAACAAUAGAAUCAGUGUAUGUUUCUCUUCUCUCAGAGUACAUUUUCCAGAGAUGGGAAUAUGAUCUGAAUAUUAACUCAGAACACUGAAAAGUCUUUCAAAGAGUACUGUAUUAAAACGUAGAUUAAAAUCUUAGAUACCAGAUCGUAACACCAAGAUUGUAACAUAUUUAAAAGCAUUUAAUUUUAAAGUAUUCCUCCAAAUUAUGUCAGGCUUUAAUCUUUUUUGACAUUCUAUCUUGGCUGUCAUUACAUAUAACCAAUGCAUAGCAGAGUUUCUGACUUAGUGAAAAGGUUUACGAGUGGGGAAAGGUCUAAAUAUCCACAUAUGAAACAAUCUCCCUAAAACAGCUGUUGAAGUGACAUUUAUAGAAGGUAUAUGCUUCUGUCCAUUGCUAACAAUUCUUGAAACUAGCAGUUCAACAUUUAUGUACCUUUGGAUUAACAAAGAAUUGUAUAUGGAGGGAUUUAAGGCAACCAUGCCUUGGGCCAAGAAAAGUGUUUGUUAAUAGCAAUAAAGAAUUUGUUCUGUUAAUAUUAAUGAAGAUCAGCAUCCAAAGAAUAAUUCUGAUAGAAAUUAAGCUGUUAGGUACAAGUCAUAAAAGGUAGAUAAGAGAAAUACUGGCAUUUAAAAUACCAGUUAUGUUGCAGGUACAGUACAGAUUACAGGCUUUUCAUAUUUUAUUUCAUUAGUACAAGCUUUUGUUACCGUAUACAUUGCAGUAAAGUACAAAGUUCAGAUUGAGAGGAAUUAAAUUGCUGAAUUUCUCUUAGGUUGUAAGUAGUUGAGUUAAAAGUUGAAUCUUGGUAAAAUAUAUAAGAAAUACUAAGCUCUAUUCACCCCACCUUUCUGCUUCCUCAAAGGGAUUAUUUUUGACAAGUUUGAAAAUAUAUCAAAAUGAAUAGUCUGCUUAUUGGUUGUUGCUGUUUCUUCGGCAUGAAUCAUAAUCUGCAUAGUCAUUGCAUAUACAUUUGCAAGAAAUAGUUUGGCAGCAGUCUUACUAUGAGGGGUAGUGUAGUAGCAGAAAGAUUCUGGUUCUUUUUAGAAAUACCUGGAAAAUGUGCUCUUGAGUAACUUAUUUUCUGAACCUCAUUUUGCAAUGUUGUAAUAUGGUGAUGUUAGUAGUAGAAACCUGUUAAUAUUAUAGAAUGAAUUAGAAGUAAUGUGUGUUUAUAGAAUGAAUUAUAGAAUUGGGCUCAGAAUAGUGCAUUGGCAUAUAGUAGAAGCUCAAAAUGGGAGCAGGUGUUACUUAUGACAUGCAUAGUUCAUGUGUUAGACACUGCUAUGCUCUUGUGAACAGUGAUUAUUGAGCUUCUGACAGUUCAUGUUGACUUCUGUCAUCAUGCUGCAAAUAUUCUUAGAUAAGGAUACCAAUUAGAAGUAGUAAAUACCAAUUGAAAUAUACUUUACCUGUAUAGCAAAAUCAGCCAAAAUUCAAAAUUUAGUUGUCUGUAUAUGUAUAUAUAUUCUGUAAGCUUUCAGAGAGCUUUAUAAUCUAGCUUAAUUCUCACUUUUACAGAGUUCAAUUUCAUUACAACUGACCAUUUCAGAUAUUUACAAAAUUGAUAUUGAUAUAAAAAUAUGUAUCUAGUAGCCAAAUUUAUCUGAUCAACCUAAAUCAUCAAGACUGGUACAUUUACUUAUUUUUGUUUUUUAAUUUUAUUUAAAAUAUAUUUUUGAAAUAUUGUAAGAAAAAUUUCAGCUAAUAUUUCUCCCAUGUCUUUGGAAAUACAUCAAAAUAGGGCAUUUUAUUACACAACAUUAUAUCUAACACAUUUAACAAAACCACAAAUAGUUCCUUGGUAUUGUCUAAUAUGCAGUCCAUAAUAAAAAAAAUAACUAGAGAAUUGUUGCCUUAACAUAGCUUACUAAUAUCACAACAGUUCCACAACCACACUUAGUUAAGUCCCUUACCAUUUUUACGUUUGAAUCUAGAGCAGACUCCUGUGGCCCCUUCUUUUCAUGUCUUUGCUUUGCACAGAAACUGGGUCACAUUCUGCAGAAUGUACCACAUUUUGGAUUUGUCUCUGCUUUCUUCUGACAUUUAACUCAUUUACUCUUUUUUUAACAAAUAGACAUUAGCUCUAGAGUAGAGGCUUGAUUAUAUUUAGUUUCUCUUUCUUUGCUAAGAGUAUUCAAAGAUGAUACUAGGUAUUUUCUAAAGAGGCCAUGCUAUCCGGUUGUCCUAGUUUUCGUAUUUCUGCAGUUGAGUUGUCAUCCUCCCAUUAAUGGUAAUUGAUAAUGUUUCAUUAGGGAAUACAAAGAGGUGCACUUGUAAUUCUAUCGUUCUUUAAAAAUACUGCUUCAUAGAGGUGUAUUCCAAAGUGUUCACCUGGAUGGGCUUUGGAAACCAUCACCAAAAUCGAGUUUGUCCAUUUCCCUAUGUUCCUCACUAGGCUUCUAUGCCUUCAACCCAGGAAAUAGGGGUUUGCUUUCUGUCAGUUUGUACCUUUUCUGUUAUCAUUUCCUCUAAUACUCAUCCUCAUAAGGUGAAACAGCAGUUCUAUAUAA
This is a long non-coding RNA of Cavia porcellus (domestic guinea pig), 6796 nucleotides long. RefSeq lists it as uncharacterized. Lineage: Eukaryota; Metazoa; Chordata; Mammalia; Rodentia; Caviidae. The record is from RefSeq and is a predicted model, not a curated record. The transcript is spliced from 5 exons.